This 2645-nucleotide ribosomal RNA is filed under the name Arthropterus sp. KAO-1997. Its description in RNAcentral is "SSU rRNA". It matches the Rfam family "Eukaryotic small subunit ribosomal RNA". Lineage: Eukaryota; Metazoa; Arthropoda; Insecta; Coleoptera; Carabidae. The record is from RNAcentral.
AUCCUGCCAGUAGUCAUAUGCUUGUCUCAAAGAUUAAGCCAUGCAUGUCUAAGUACAAAUUUUUUUAUAAAAGUGAAACCGCGAAAGGCUCAUUAAAUCAGUUAUGGUUCCUUAGAUAGUACCCACAUUUACUUGGAUAACUGUGGUAAUUCUAGAGCUAAUACAUGCAAACUGAGCUCCAACCGGUGACGGAAGGAGUGCUUUUAUUAGAUGAAAACUAAUAUGAUAUUAAAAACAAAAUUUUUUUUUUUUUUGUUUUUAUAUAUUGUUUAUAUUGAUGAAUCUGAGUAACUUAUGCAGAUCGUACGGUCUUUAGUACCGACGACGUAUCUUUCAAAUGUCUGCCUUAUCAACUGUCGAUGGUAGGAUCUGCGCCUACCAUGGUUGUAACGGGUAACGGGGAAUCAGGGUUCGAUUCCGGAGAGGGAGCCUGAGAAACGGCUACCACAUCCAAGGAAGGCAGCAGGCACCCAAAUUACCCACUCCCAGCACGGGGAGGUAGUGACGAAAAAUAACGAUACGGGACUCAUCCGAGGCCCCGUAAUCGGAAUGAGUACACUUUAAAUCCUUUAACGAGGAUCAAUUAGAGGGCAAGUCUGGUGCCAGCAGCCGCGGUAAUACCAGCUCUAAUAGCGUAUAUUAAAGUUGUUGCGUUUAAAAAGCUCGUAGUUGAAUUUGUGUCCCAUGCUGUUGGUACACCGCCCGCGGUGUCUCACUGACAUGCCAUGGGACGUCCUGCCGGUGGGUGUGUCAUACUUUAUAUGUUAUACUUUUGUAUAUUACACACAUAUACCAUAUGAUUAACUAUAUUUUACAAUGUAAUUUACAUACAUUCAUAUAUUUAUUAUAUUGUGAUAUGUUUAUAUAUACAUAUAUAAUAAAUUGUGGUGCACAUAUAUAUUUUUUUAUGGUUCCCCAAUAUAUAUAUAUAUUAAAUUAUAUAUACAUAUUAUUAAAAUUAAAAAUAAAAUUGUGGUGCAUUAUAUAUAUAUAUAUAUAUAUAUAUAUAUAUAUAAAUAAUUGUUUACCACAGUUAUUUAAAUUUUUUUUUUAUUUAUUCUAUUAUAAAAUAUAUAUUGGUCAUAAAUUUUAUUUAUAUAUGUUGCCAUACCAUUUUUUAUAUACAUAAUGCUGUACAUACAUAUAUUUUAUGUAUUGUAAAACAUUGAGUUUAUAUUAUAUAGUUAAUCGGUAAUAUGUUUAAAUGUGUAUUUAUAUGCAAUAGGUAUUUACAUAUAUUUGUUACGCCAUCCAAACUCAUAAAUCCUGUCGCGGUGCUCUUAAUCGAGUGUCGAGGCAGGCCGGCACGUUUACUUUGAACAAAUUAGAGUGCUCAAAGCAGGCUAAAAUUAUGCCUGAAUACAUUUAUGCAUGGAAUAAUGAAAUAGGACCUCGGUUCUAUUUUGUUGGUUUUCUGGAACAAUUAGAGGUAAUGAUUAAUAGGGACAGAUGGGGGCAUUCGUAUUGCGACGUUAGAGGUGAAAUUCUUGGAUCGUCGCAAGACGGACUAAAGCGAAAGCAUUUGCCAAAGAUGUUUUCAUUAAUCAAGAGCGAAAGUCAGAGGUUCGAAGGCGAUCAGAUACCGCCCUAGUUCUGACCAUAAACGAUGCCAGCUAGCGAUCCGCCGAUGUUCCUCCGAUGACUCGGCGGGCAGCUAUACGGGAAACCAAAGCUUUUGGGUUCCGGGGGAAGUAUGGUUGCAAAGCUGAAACUUAAAGGAAUUGACGGAAGGGCACCACCAGGAGUGGAGCCUGCGGCUUAAUUUGACUCAACACGGGAAACCUCACCAGGCCCAGACACUGGAAGGAUUGACAGAUUGAGAGCUCUUUCUUGAUUCAGUGGGUGGUGGUGCAUGGCCGUUCUUAGUUGGUGGAGUGAUUUGUCUGGUUAAUUCCGAUAACGAACGAGACUCUAGCCUGCUAAAUAGGCGUACAUAUUACCGGUAUCCAGAAGGCUCGUGUUCACCGCAUUAACUGGUGAUCAAUUUCACUUAUAUAUAUAUAUUAUAUAUAUAAAUACAUGUUACAUACUACAACACUCUUUAUCCUCUAUUUAUGUGUAUUUUUCUAUUAUGUGUUCAAUUUACAUACAGCAUGUGGUAACACACAUAUGUAUUGUAAGCCACAUUAUUAGAUUAUAUAUGUAUAUAUGGUAUAUUUGUGCUUGUGUGUGUACUACUGUUUUAUGUGUAUAUGUGUGUAUGUGAUUGUUUGUGAUCUGGGCGGUCUGUUCACGGUUUUUACUACCGGCGUACAUAUAUAUCUUCUUAGAGGGACUGGCGGCAUAUAGCCGCACGAGAUUGAGCAAUAACAGGUCUGUGAUGCCCUUAGAUGUUCUGGGCCGCACGCGCGCUACACUGAAGGAAUCAGCGUGUUUAUUCCUUGGCCGAAAGGUCCGGGUAAACCGUUGAAACUCUUUCGUACUAGGGAUUGGGGAUUGAAAUUAUUCCCCAUGAACGAGGAAUUCCCAGUAAGCGCGAGUCAUAAGCUUGCGUUGAUUACGUCCCUGCCCUUUGUACACACCGCCCGUCGCUACUACCGAUUGAAUGAUUUAGUGAGGUCUCCGGACCGGCACCCGGUGAUAUUUUUAAUAUUGCCGUUGUGUGCUGGGAAGUUGACCAAACUUGGUCAUUUAGAGGAAGUAAA